Molecule: ribosomal RNA, 750 nt
Filed under: uncultured bacterium
Lineage: Bacteria
Description: bacterial SSU rRNA
Rfam family: Bacterial small subunit ribosomal RNA
Source: RNAcentral
GAUGAACGCUGGCGGCGUGCUUAACACAUGCAAGUCGAACGAAGCACUUUAUUUGAUUUCCUUCGGGACUGAUUAUUUUGUGACUGAGUGGCGGACGGGUGAGUAACGCGUGGGUAACCUGCCUUGUACAGGGGGAUAACAGUUGGAAACGGCUGCUAAUACCGCAUAAGCGCACAGCAUCGCAUGAUGCAGUGUGAAAAACUCCGGUGGUAUAAGAUGGACCCGCGUUGGAUUAGCUAGUUGGUGAGGUAACGGCCCACCAAGGCGACGAUCCAUAGCCGACCUGAGAGGGUGACCGGCCACAUUGGGACUGAGACACGGCCCAAACUCCUACGGGAGGCAGCAGUGGGGAAUAUUGCACAAUGGGCGAAAGCCUGAUGCAGCGACGCCGCGUGAGCGAAGAAGUAUUUCGGUAUGUAAAGCUCUAUCAGCAGGGAAGAUAAUGACGGUACCUGACUAAGAAGCACCGGCUAAAUACGUGCCAGCAGCCGCGGUAAUACGUAUGGUGCAAGCGUUAUCCGGAUUUACUGGGUGUAAAGGGAGCGCAGGCGGUGCGGCAAGUCUGAUGUGAAAGCCCGGGGCUCAACCCCGGUACUGCAUUGGAAACUGUCGUACUAGAGUGUCGGAGGGGUAAGCGGAAUUCCUAGUGUAGCGGUGAAAUGCGUAGAUAUUAGGAGGAACACCAGUGGCGAAGGCGGCUUACUGGACGAUAACUGACGCUGAGGCUCGAAAGCGUGGGGAGCAAACAAG